Long non-coding RNA from Homo sapiens (human), 920 nucleotides. Ensembl annotates it as long intergenic non-protein coding RNA 824. The record is from Ensembl. Lineage: Eukaryota; Metazoa; Chordata; Mammalia; Primates; Hominidae.
AUGGCAUCACCAGAAACCAAGAAGAUGGUAAGGCCUGGAGGUGGCAGAGCUGAAGAGAGUACAUGACCCAGCAGAAGAAAUAAGCACAAAUACAAAUGGUGACAGAAAAAUAAGAUGUGUCACAACUGACUUAGAUUCCAACAACCACAACAGCACAGAGGAGGAAGCGAGGUGGUGCUCCCUGGAAUGACCCAAACACAACAAUAUCUGAGCUUGCUCUUGAAGGACUAGCAGUUUACCAAGCAAAAUGGAAAACAGAAAUUGAGUCCAGGUCUAGAUAUCAAGAAGCACAAAGAGAUCCAGAAAAGACCAUGGAGAAUUCAAAGACCAGCAACAGGCUUCAAAAGCCUUCUAUGAAUAGGGCAUGCAUGGACCCUUCUCCUCUCACCCCCCAGCACAUAUGAAGGGGUAUGGACAGUGUUGGAACAAGAUGGUCUUGGAUUCAGAAAUAAAAGGAGUCAGAAGCUGAAGACCUAAGGGUAACACAAGACUUCCGGGUUCUGGCCGGGCGCGGUGGCUCACGCCUGUAAUCCCAGCACUUUGGGAGGCCGAGGCGGGCGGAUCACGAGGUCAGGAGAUCGAGACCAUCCCGGCUAAAACGGCGAAACCCCGUCUCUACUAAAAAUACAAAAAAUUAGCCGGGCGUAGUGGCGGGCGCCUGUAGUCCCAGCUACUUGGGAGGCUGAGGCAGGAGAAUGGCGUGAACCCGGGAGGCGGAGCUUGCAGUGAGCCGAGAUCCCGCCACUGCACUCCAGCCUGGGCGACAGAGCGAGACUCCGUCUCAAAAAAAAAAAAAAAAGACUUCCGGGUUCUGAAAGCAGUGCAGCUUGGAAUUUUCAGAAAGUGAAUUGACUUCCUGUAGCUGAUUGUUUUUUAUUUUAGGAAAAUAAAAAUUAUUACUUUUUGUUUAAAUGACAAAA